Molecule: long non-coding RNA, 457 nt
Organism: Parus major (Great Tit)
Lineage: Eukaryota; Metazoa; Chordata; Aves; Passeriformes; Paridae
Exons: 3
Source: RefSeq, a predicted model, not a curated record
UGAACCACUGGCCCAGUGAGCCGGGGAGGAGAUGGAAGCAACCAGGAGCAGAGCUCUGCAGGGGGAUCCUGCUCUUGGCCUCUGCACCCACCUCACAGGUCCUGGAGCCACAGGUGCAUGCAAGCGAAGGCAACUGGGAACAAAUAUUGCAGCCUUUAUCUCCAGGAUGGGCUUGGAAAGCUGUGACAGAAGGCAGCUCAGGAAUGAUUUCAGGAUGUUGAGUCCAGCUCAGCAGGGCUGGGCAGCUCUCAGGAAUGGGGGUUGGACGCCCUGUGGAGGCAUCACCCUGUGCUAAGCUGAGCCUUGAGCCCAGAGCAACACACUUUGUGAGUGCCCCUAGCCAAGCACCUCUGCGAGGAUCCUGCUCCUCUCUGAAGUGUCUCAUUUGGGGAAAAAAUUGCUGUGGAUAUAAAGCAAUAUCUCUUCCUUAGUGAUUUUGGGUUGGAUUUUUUUUUUU